CAGUAGCCGCGGUAAUACGUAGGUGGCAAGCGUCGUCCGGAAUUAUUGGGCGUAAAGGGCUCGCAGACGGUUUCUUAAGUCUGAUGUGAAAGCCCCCGGCUCAACCGAAGAGGGUCAUUGGAAACUGGGAAACUUGAGUGCAGAAGAGGAGAGUGGAAUUCCACGUGUAGCGGUGAAAUGCGUAGAGAUGUGGAGGAACACCAGUGGCGAGGGCGACUCUCUGGUCUGUAACUGACACUGAGAGACGAAAGCUAGGGGAGCAAAUGGGAUUAGAUACCCCAGUAGUCCCUGUCUCUUAUAC
RNAcentral lists this ribosomal RNA (301 nucleotides) under uncultured bacterium. RNAcentral describes it as "partial 16S ribosomal RNA". It matches the Rfam family "Bacterial small subunit ribosomal RNA", at positions 509 to 807 of the family's 1533-position model. The record is from RNAcentral.